RNAcentral lists this ribosomal RNA (375 nucleotides) under uncultured bacterium. RNAcentral describes it as "bacterial SSU rRNA". It matches the Rfam family "Bacterial small subunit ribosomal RNA", at positions 29 to 433 of the family's 1533-position model. The record is from RNAcentral.
AACGAACGCUAGCGGCAGGCUUAACACAUGCAAGUCGAACGCCCCGCAAGGGGAGUGGCGCACGGGUGAGUAACGCGUGGGAAUAUGCCCUUCGGUUCGGAAUAACACAGGGAAACUUGUGCUAAUACCGAAUACGAUCUACGGAUGAAAGAUUUAUCGCCGAGGGAGUAGCCGCGUAGGAUUAGCUAGUUGGUGAGGUAAUGGCUCACCAAGGCGACGAUCCUUAGCUGGUCUGAGAGGAUGAUCAGCCACACUGGGACUGAGACACGGCCCAGACUCCUACGGGAGGCAGCAGUGGGGAAUAUUGGACAAUGGGGGAAACCUGAUCCAGCCAUGCCGCGUGAGUGAAGAAGGCCUUCGGGUUGGUUAAAGGAC